RNAcentral lists this ribosomal RNA (798 nucleotides) under Enterococcus casseliflavus. RNAcentral's name for it is "bacterial SSU rRNA". It matches the Rfam family "Bacterial small subunit ribosomal RNA", at positions 56 to 826 of the family's 1533-position model. Lineage: Bacteria; Bacillati; Bacillota; Bacilli; Lactobacillales; Enterococcaceae. The record is from RNAcentral.
UGCAAGUCGAACGCUUUUUCUUUCACCGGAGCUUGCUCCACCGAAAGAAAAAGAGUGGCGAACGGGUGAGUAACACGUGGGUAACCUGCCCAUCAGAAGGGGAUAACACUUGGAAACAGGUGCUAAUACCGUAUAACACUAUUUUCCGCAUGGAAGAAAGUUGAAAGGCGCUUUUGCGUCACUGAUGGAUGGACCCGCGGUGCAUUAGCUAGUUGGUGAGGUAACGGCUCACCAAGGCAACGAUGCAUAGCCGACCUGAGAGGGUGAUCGGCCACACUGGGACUGAGACACGGCCCAGACUCCUACGGGAGGCAGCAGUAGGGAAUCUUCGGCAAUGGACGAAAGUCUGACCGAGCAACGCCGCGUGAGUGAAGAAGGUUUUCGGAUCGUAAAACUCUGUUGUUAGAGAAGAACAAGGAUGAGAGUAAAAUGUUCAUCCCUUGACGGUAUCUAACCAGAAAGCCACGGCUAACUACGUGCCAGCAGCCGCGGUAAUACGUAGGUGGCAAGCGUUGUCCGGAUUUAUUGGGCGUAAAGCGAGCGCAGGCGGUUUCUUAAGUCUGAUGUGAAAGCCCCCGGCUCAACCGGGGAGGGUCAUUGGAAACUGGGAGACUUGAGUGCAGAAGAGGAGAGUGGAAUUCCAUGUGUAGCGGUGAAAUGCGUAGAUAUAUGGAGGAACACCAGUGGCGAAGGCGGCUCUCUGGUCUGUAACUGACGCUGAGGCUCGAAAGCGUGGGGAGCGAACAGGAUUAGAUACCCUGGUAGUCCACGCCGUAAACGAUGAGUGCUAAGUGUUGG